AGCGGCAAACGGGUGAGUAACACGYAGGUAAUAUGCCUAUCAGAGGAGGAUAACUCCGGGAAACCGGGGCUAAUACUCCAUAUAAUUAUUUGAACUGUGUUCUUAUAAUGAAAGGAUUUAUUUCGCUGAUAGAUUAGCCUGCGGUCCAUUAGCUUGUUGGUGUGGUAACGGCUCACCAAGGCGAUGAUGGAUAGCCGACUUAAAAGGGUGAUCGGUCACACUGGAACUGAGACACGGUCCAGACUCCUACGGGAGGCAGCAGUGAGGAAUCUUGCGCAAUGGGCGAAAGCCUGACGCAGCAACGCCGCGUGGAGGAUGAAGUCCCUAGGGACGUAAACUCCUUUCAGGAGGGAAGAAAUGCCCGUUUAUCGGGAGCUGACGGUACCUCCAUAAGAAGCACCGGCUAACUCCGUGCCAGCAGCCGCGGUAAUACGGAGGGUGCUAGCGUUGUCCGGAAUCACUAGGCGUAAGGGUACGUAGGCGUUCCUGUAAGUCGAUUGUGAAAGCCCUCUGCUUAACGGAGGAAAGUCAAUCGAAACUGCAGGAAUUGAGAAUAGGAGAGGAGAGCGGAAUUCCUGGAGGAGCGGUGAAAUGCGUAGAUUUCAGGGAGAACACCGAUGGCGAAGGCAGCUCUCUGGCCUAAUUCUGACGCUUAGGUACGUAAGCUAGGGUAGCGAACCGGAUUAGAUACCCGGGUAGUCCUAGCCGUAAACUAUGGACACUAGGCGUCGGGCAUAAGCCCGGUGCCGUAGCUAACGCGUUAAGUGUCCCGCCUGGGAAGUACGGUCGCAAGGCUGAAACUCAAAGGGAUUGACGGGGGCCUGCACAAGCGGUGGAGCAUGUGGUUUAAUUCGAUGCAACGCGAAGAACCUUACCUGGGUUUGACAUUCCAUUGACCGCUCUGGAAACAGAGUUUUCUUGAAUUAAUUCGAGACAAUGGAACAGGUGCUGCAUGGCUGUCGUCAGCUCGUGUCGUGAGAUGUUGGGUUAAGUCCCGCAACGAGCGCAACCCCUGCACUUUGUUACCAGCGGAUAAUGCCGGGGACUCUAAGUGGACUGCCCAGAACAACUGGGAGGAAGGUGGGGACGACGUCAAGUCAUCAUGGCCCUUAUGUCCAGGGCUACACACGUGCUACAAUGGCCGAUACAAAGGGAAGCAACUCCGCAAGGACAAGCGAAUCCCAAAAAGUCGGUCUCAGUUCGGAUUGCAGGCUGCAAUUCGCCUGCAUGAAGGUGGAAUCGCUAGUAAUCGUGGGUCAGCAAUACCACGGUGAAUCUGUUCCCAGGCCUUGUACACACCGCCCGUCACACCACGAAAGUCGGUUGUACCAGAAGUCG
Molecule: ribosomal RNA, 1338 nt
Filed under: uncultured bacterium
Lineage: Bacteria
Description: 16S ribosomal RNA
Rfam family: Bacterial small subunit ribosomal RNA
Source: RNAcentral